AGGAGUAGCGACAAAGAGUGUGAGAGACACUCUCGCCGAAAGUCCAAGGGUUCCUGCUUAAAGCUAAUCUGAGCAGGGUAAGCCGGCCCCUAAGCCGAGGGCGAAAGCCGUAGGCGAUGGGAACUAGGUUAAUAUUCCUAGGCCAGGAGGAUGUGACGGAUCAUGAAGGUUGUUUGCCCUUAUCGGAUUGGGCAGGCCGCUGAUUGGUUCCUGGAAAUAGCCCUCCAUGAGACCGUACCCUAAACCGACACAGGUGG
RNAcentral lists this ribosomal RNA (257 nucleotides) under Skeletonema marinoi. RNAcentral describes it as "partial Bacterial large subunit ribosomal RNA". It matches the Rfam family "Bacterial large subunit ribosomal RNA", at positions 1302 to 1666 of the family's 2925-position model. Lineage: Eukaryota; Bacillariophyta; Thalassiosirophyceae; Thalassiosirales; Thalassiosiraceae. The record is from RNAcentral.